AUAAUCCACGAUCAACCUUACCACCCCUUGCCAUUCAGCCUAUAUACCGCCGUCUCCAGCUUACCUUGUGAAAGCCUAAAAGUAAGCAAAAUAGCUCUUACAGCUAGAAAGUCAGGUCCAGGUGUAGCCGAUGGGGUGGAUGCAAUGGGCUACAUUUUCUAAAAUAGAAAUAUUCACGGACAGACCAUUGAAAUAUGGACUGACAAGUCGGAUUUAGCAGUAAUCUAGGAGUAGAAAACCUACAUUAAGCCG
RNAcentral lists this ribosomal RNA (252 nucleotides) under Pelomedusa subrufa. RNAcentral's name for it is "partial 12S ribosomal RNA". Lineage: Eukaryota; Metazoa; Chordata; Testudines; Pelomedusidae. The record is from RNAcentral.